GCCAGCAGCCAUAUCACUCUGAAACCCACUGCUAAGCAGGUGUGAGCCUGGUCAGUACCUGGAUAGGAGACCUCCUGGGAAAAACUAAGGUUGCUGCUGGAA
RNAcentral lists this ribosomal RNA (102 nucleotides) under Lepisosteus oculatus (spotted gar). Lineage: Eukaryota; Metazoa; Chordata; Actinopteri; Semionotiformes; Lepisosteidae. The record is from RNAcentral.